AACGAACGCUGGCGGCAGGCCUAACACAUGCAAGUCGAGCGAGCAUUUCGGUGCUAGCGGCGGACGGGUGAGUAACGCGUGGGAACGUGCCCUUUUCUGCGGAAUAGUCCUGGGAAACUGGGGGUAAUACCGCAUACGCCCUUUUGGGGAAAGAUUUAUCGGAGAAGGAUCGGCCCGCGUUGGAUUAGGUAGUUGGUGGGGUAAUGGCCCACCAAGCCGACGAUCCAUAGCUGGUUUGAGAGGAUGAUCAGCCACACUGGGACUGAGACACGGCCCAGACUCCUACGGGAGGGAGGAGUGGGGAAUCUUAGACAAUGGGGGCAACCCUGAUCUAGCCAUGCCGCGUGAGUGAUGAAGGCCUUAGGGUUGUAAAGCUCUUUCAGCUGGGAAGAUAAUGACGGUACCAGCAGAAGAAGCCCCGGCUAACUCCGUG
Molecule: ribosomal RNA, 433 nt
Filed under: uncultured bacterium
Lineage: Bacteria
Description: partial 16S ribosomal RNA
Rfam family: Bacterial small subunit ribosomal RNA
Source: RNAcentral